This 304-nucleotide long non-coding RNA is filed under the name Vigna radiata. RNAcentral describes it as "long non-coding RNA (VRAD_LNC005976)". The record is from RNAcentral. Lineage: Eukaryota; Viridiplantae; Streptophyta; Magnoliopsida; Fabales; Fabaceae.
ACAGCCUUACGAAGCUCCAAACACCAACGAAAUGGUGUCAUGGAAAUUCGUUCAACAUGGACAUCUCUUAGUAACCCAUUCAUAGUAACAAUGAUUGAUGAAUCAAGAGAGAUUCAAACCCGCCACUACAAAACAUUAAAAAAUAAAAAUUUAUUACUUAAAAAAAAAACAACUUUAUAUAAUAACAAAACUUUUACUCACCUUUGGGUUUCCGGACGCCAUUGCAACUGCAAAUAUUUCAUACAAAUACAUCAAUGGUGGAUUAAGGUUCAAAAAACACAAAAAAUAAUUAAAUAAAACAAAA